AAAAAAUUAGUUAAAACCAUAACAUUAGUAUGUCAAACUAAAAUUAUUAGUAUUUCUAAUAUUUUUUGA
RNAcentral lists this transfer RNA (69 nucleotides) under Chrysops niger (black deer fly). RNAcentral's name for it is "tRNA-Asp". Lineage: Eukaryota; Metazoa; Arthropoda; Insecta; Diptera; Tabanidae. The record is from RNAcentral.